This 1469-nucleotide ribosomal RNA is filed under the name Vibrionaceae bacterium TUN12. Its description in RNAcentral is "16S ribosomal RNA". It matches the Rfam family "Bacterial small subunit ribosomal RNA". Lineage: Bacteria; Pseudomonadati; Pseudomonadota; Gammaproteobacteria; Vibrionales; Vibrionaceae. The record is from RNAcentral.
AGUCGAGCGGAACGAGUUAACUGACCCUUCGGGUGACGUUAACGGCGUCGAGCGGCGGACGGGUGAGUAAUGCCUGGGAAAUUGCCCUGAUGUGGGGGAUAACCAUUGGAAACGAUGGCUAAUACCGCAUAAUGCCUUCGGGCCAAAGAGGGGGACCUUCGGGCCUCUCGCGUCAGGAUAUGCCCAGGUGGGAUUAGCUAGUUGGUGAGGUAAUGGCUCACCAAGGCGACGAUCCCUAGCUGGUCUGAGAGGAUGAUCAGCCCCCACUGGAACUGAAGACACGGGUCCCGACUCUCCACCGGAGGCCGCAGUGGGGAAUAAUUGGCACAAUGGGCGCAAGCCUUUAUGUGCAGCCACUGGGCGCGGGGGGGUAAGAAAAGCCCUCUCCGGUUGUAAAGAGACUUUCAGCAGUGGGGGAGAGGGCGGGACGUUUAUAACGUGGUUCGUUUGACGUUAGCUGGCGGAAAAAAAACCCGGCUAAAUCCCGGUGCGCGCAAGCCGCGGGAAUACGGAGGGGUGGGGAGGGCGUUAUCUGAAAUUAUCGGGGGCGAAAGCGCAUGCAGGUGGUGUCGCUUAAAUCACAAGUGGAAAGACCGGGGGCUCAACCUCCCGAACUGCGUUUGAAACUGGGGCGGACUAAAAGUAAUAGUUAAAGGGGGGGUAGAAAAUUCAGGUUGUAGCGGUGAAAGGCCUAGAAAAUCUGCAAGGAAUAACCGUGGCGAAAGCGGGCCCCCUGACCAGAUACAUGACACUCAGCAUGCGAAAACGUGGGGGAGCAAACAGGAUUAGAUACCCUGGUUAGUCCACGCCCCCAAACGAUGUCUACUUGGUAGGUUGUGGCCUUGAGCCGCGGCCUUUCGGAGCUAACGCGUAAGUAAACCGCCCUGGGGGGAGUACCGUCGCAAGCAUUAUAUACUCAAAUGAAUUGACGGGGGCCCGCACAAGCGGUGGAGCAUGUGGUUUAAUUCGAUGCAACGCGAAGAACCUUACCUACUCUUGACAUCCAGAGAAGCCAGCGGAGACGCAGGUGUGCCUUCGGGAGCUCUGAGACAGGUGCUGCAUGGCUGUCGUCAGCUCGUGUUGUGAAAUGUUGGGUUAAGUCCCGCAACGAGCGCAACCCUUAUCCUUGUUUGCCAGCGAGUAAUGUCGGGAACUCCAGGGAGACUGCCGGUGAUAAACCGGAGGAAGGUGGGGACGACGUCAAGUCAUCAUGGCCCUUACGAGUAGGGCUACACACGUGCUACAAUGGCGCAUACAGAGGGCAGCCAACUUGCGAAAGUGAGCGAAUCCCAAAAAGUGCGUCGUAGUCCGGAUUGGAGUCUGCAACUCGACUCCAUGAAGUCGGAAUCGCUAGUAAUCGUAGAUCAGAAUGCUACGGUGAAUACGUUCCCGGGCCUUGUACACACCGCCCGUCACACCAUGGGAGUGGGCUGCAAAAGAAGUGGGUAGUUAACCUUCGGGAGGACGCU